UAAAGCCGUACAACCGUAUUGGUAGGGGGAAAACACUUCCCUAUUCCCUGAUCCCAACGAAAAUUAAUUUUGUAAACAAAUCGCGUCCCGAACUCAGGACUCAGGAGUCUGGUGAUUUGAGCGGUGAAGAGAGUUAAUCGAAUUAUCUACGAGAAUUUCUUACUGUCGACAACGACUACAACAAAGGAGCUAUACGCAUCAGAACCACGCAAUUGACAUUCGACGAUGUGCUCUCACCGAAGUUGCCGUGUCGCAUUCGGUUGAUUCUUGUAGACAAUCCGCUCGUGUCUCGAUAUUUGGUUAAUUAGCCGACAAUGGACGUACCUCAACCUCCGGAAGAUCAGGAAUUGCGCACGAUCAUCGACAAGUUGGCCGUGUUCGUCGCGCGCAACGGACCUGACUUUGAACAGAUGACCAAGACUAAACAAAAGGAUAACCCUAAGUUUGAGUUUCUGUUCGGCGGCCGUUACUUUGAUUACUACUUGCGUAAAGUGUCUACAGAACAAUCGAUAUUAAAUCAAAACAGUGUCAGAGAAAUAGCUCAAGCCGCAGUUGUAAAUAAUUCAGUUAGUACACAACAAUUAAACAUGGCAGCUGCAGCAGCACAAUGGUUAAAUUUAAACCAAACAAAUGAUUGUCAACCACCCGUAGUUACCAUGGAAUCCUUGAAUGCUCAACAAGCUAAUCUGCAGCAACAAAUUGCCCAGGCAGAACAAAAUUUUAACUCACAACUUAUGAUAUUAGCCCAACAGCAACAAGUGGCUACUGAAGAUAAAAUACUGUCAGAACAGCGAGAAUAUAUUAAUUCUGAAGCUGCAGCUAAUGAUUUAUCACUGGUUGAAUUGUCGUCUGUACUCGAACCAAUUAUUAAAGGAUGUACUAAAGAUGCAAUAGCGAAUGGUAAAUCAUGGAUUAUGAAACAAACAGCUAGUGAACGAAAAGUUGAUGUAAUCACCCAAUAUUUACUUAUGGAAGUAAUGGAUCCAAAUGCAGAAUUUUCAAAACAAUUACAUUUAAUAUAUUUAGUAAAUGAUACUGUUCAUCACUGUAUUCGCAAGUCAGAAAAAAUACUGAAAACAUCACUUGAAUCGAUUAUUGUUCCAAUGUUUUGCUCAGCGAUGAUGAGAGCAAAUGAAGAUCAAAAAUCUAAACUGAGCAAACUGCUAACUUUGUGGGAAACAAAAAAUCAUUAUUUUCCUGAAACUAUAAUGGAGCGAUUGAAAAAUCCUGAUAGAUCAAUGGUAGAAUACAAGAGCAACUUGUUGGAAAAGUAUAGGGAUGCUGUCAAUCAACUCAACAUGAUUAUGAACAGUACAUUACAAAAUUACCGUAGCCAACAUCAAUCAUUUUUAGCACAUUGUAACAAUCAGAUACAGAGUAUAGAAAACCAAAAACGUUCGCUAGAACAACAAAAACAAAGGGUAACUCCUCUUUCAAUUCCUCCAGCUCAAGACGACACAAAUCGACAGCAUUUUAAUGAAGGUCGUUUACCUUCUCCUCCUUCAUACCAGAAUAAUAUGUCUGGAUAUAUGCAAGCUGACCAGCAAAAUUAUCCUCACCAAACAGAUAAUGGAUAUCAGCAAGAUGAUCACUAUGGACAGCCAAUGCAAAAUUGUAUGCAACAACCUCCCUCUAUGUAUAAUAGACCUCCACCACCAUUUAAUCAACCUCCGCCCAAUAUACAUUUGCAACCUCCGCCUUCAAUGGAGUUACCUGAUCUAAGUCGACCACCUCCAAAUUUUAUACAAAAUAACUUUCCUUUACCACCAGUUCAGCCAGAUAUUACACCAGAUGAUUUACUUCCUUCACUGCCAUACUAUGAACUUCCAGCUGGCCUUAUGGUGCCAUUAGUUAAAUUGGAAGAUAGCAAUUAUAAACCUUUAGACCCAGAUACAAUCAGAUUACCACCACCAGCUCCACCUACUGAUCGUCUAUUAGAUGCAGUCAAAGCCUUUUACAUGCCUCCUGGACAUUUCGCUCCACGUGAUAGUGAUGGUUGGGAAAAACUUGGUCUAUAUGAAUACUACAAAGCCAAACAUUCUGCAAAAAAACAAAAAGAAGAUGAUAUUGCCGAUAAUAUAAGAGCAAGAUCAAAAUCGCCAUCUCCUAUUAUAUUACCUUCACUGAAAGAUAAAUCGCCAGUUCGAAAAAAGCGUUACAGAAGUCGUAGUCGAAGCCCAAAACCACGCAGUCCAUUAAGACGAGUUAUAAGUAAAAAAAACAGUCCACCGCCAACACCAAAUCGUAGUCGUCGAAGACGUUCUCCAUCUAGAUCACCAACACCUUCUCCACCAUCAUCUCAACGAAGUCCUACACCACCUUCAUUUGGGGGAGCUAGUUUUGGUAAAACUGCCCAGGAACGCUUAGAUGAAUCAAAUAAAGGUCAUCAGCUUCUGAAAAAAAUGGGUUGGAGUGGUGCUGGAUUGGGUUCAAAAGAGCAAGGUAUCGACACACCAAUCAGCGGUGGUGACGUAAGUAAAAAGAUGAUUGAAAAAUGUUUUGUAGUAAAUAUUGUAUUAUAUUUUUUAUUGUUAUUGACAAAUGGUACUUUAUAUUAUAUAAAAUUAUAUUGAUCUGUCGCUUUGUUGGUCGUCAUUAUAAAUUAGGUCCGAGAUAGGACUGAUCAAUAUAAGGGUGUGGGAAUCAGUUUGAAUGAUCCAUACGAGAACUUCAGAAAAAACAAAGGCAAGGCGUUCAUACAUAGGAUGCGUACGAGGGCAGAAGAACGAAUGGAAGGCAAUGCGUGAACAAUGUGCAGUUUAUAUUAUUUGUUAUUGGUAAAUGUUAUUUGGUAAAACGCCUUUAUAUCUGUAGAGAUUUGGCUAAAGCUCGUUGUAUUGCGAAUACAUAUAUAUAUUUUUAGUAAUAACAUUUUAGCAUACGGACAGAAAAACACCGUAAAGAACAACAUUCAGAAAUUAUCUACUACUUUGUGAAUAUUAUUAUUUGCUAUAUCUUCUAUUUUAUUUAUAACAAAACCAAUAAACUAAAAAAAAAAUUA
This 3001-nucleotide unclassified non-coding RNA is filed under the name Rhopalosiphum maidis (corn leaf aphid). Its description in RNAcentral is "calcium homeostasis endoplasmic reticulum protein, transcript variant X1". Lineage: Eukaryota; Metazoa; Arthropoda; Insecta; Hemiptera; Aphididae. The record is from RNAcentral.